GAGUUGUCAAUCAACGGUGCCUGCUUACACUGAUGAACUACAAGAUUCAGACUUGCUGUAAAGACUUGUGUCUACACACUAGAACUUCUUUCCCAGAUCAAUUUGGAGGCGAUGAAUCAUGAGUGCUGGUGACUAAGCUGCUCUUCUAUCAAUCCAGCAGAUGAAUGAAUAAACUGAGGCUCGGAGAGUUCGAGUAACUUGUCCAACGUGACAUAGCUGGUAUGUGGAAGAUGUGAGAUUUGAACCCGUGUAGUCUACUGUAGAACUAAUGCUCUUCACCACUUUAUACUCACUAUGCCUUAACCAACGCGGUCUCAGGAACCUGGAGCUGAAGAUGACACUGGGGAUUAUUCGAUCCAGCAGCUUCAGUUUAUUCAUGAGAAGGCUGAGUCACCGAGGGGUGAAUUGUGGGGUUCAGCGGCUCCGUUGUUGGCAAAGCUGGAAAUGGCAUCCCAAUCCUCUGGUCCAGAGCCGGUGCUUCUCUACGUCAACGCCAGC
This 498-nucleotide long non-coding RNA is filed under the name Equus caballus (horse). RNAcentral describes it as "lncRNA (ENSECAG00000047386.1)". Lineage: Eukaryota; Metazoa; Chordata; Mammalia; Perissodactyla; Equidae. The record is from RNAcentral.